Molecule: ribosomal RNA, 724 nt
Filed under: Shigella sp.
Lineage: Bacteria; Pseudomonadati; Pseudomonadota; Gammaproteobacteria; Enterobacterales; Enterobacteriaceae
Description: bacterial SSU rRNA
Rfam family: Bacterial small subunit ribosomal RNA
Source: RNAcentral
GCUCAGAUGAACGCUGGCGGCAGGCCUAACACAUGCAAGUCGAACGGUAACAGGAAGCAGCUUGCUUUUCGCUGACGAGUGGCGGACGGGUGAGUAAUGUCUGGGAAACUGCCUGAUGGAGGGGGAUAACUACUGGAAACGGUAGCUAAUACCGCAUAACGUCGCAAGACCAAAGAGGGGGACCUUCGGGCCUCUUGCCAUCGGAUGUGCCCAGAUGGGAUUAGCUGUGGUGGGGUAACGGCUCACCAGGCGACGAUCCCUAGCUGGUCUGAGAGGAUGACCAGCCACACUGGAACUGAGACACGGUCCAGACUCCUACGGGAGGCAGCAGUGGGGAAUAUUGCACAAUGGGCGCAAGCCUGAUGCAGCCAUGCCGCGUGUAUGAAGAAGGCCUUCGGGUUGUAAAGUACUUUCAGCGGGGAGGAAGGGAGUAAAGUUAAUACCUUUGCUCAUUGACGUUACCCGCAGAAGAAGCACCGGCUAACUCCGUGCCAGCAGCCGCGGUAAUACGGAGGGUGCAAGCGUUAAUCGGAAUUACUGGGCGUAAAGCGCACGCAGGCGGUUUGUUAAGUCAGAUGUGAAAUCCCCGGGCUCAACCUGGGAACUGCAUCUGAUACUGGCAAGCUUGAGUCUCGUAGAGGGGGGUAGAAUUCCAGGUGUAGCGGUGAAAUGCGUAGAGAUCUGGAGGAAUACCCGGUGGCGAAGGCGGCCCCCUGGACGAAGA